GACGAACGCUGGCGGCGUGCCUAAUACAUGCAAGUUGAGCGAUGAAGAUUGGUGCUUGCACCAAUUUGAAGAGCAGCGAACGGGUGAGUAACGCGUGGGGAACCUGCCUUUGAGCGGGGGACAACAUUUGGAAACGAAUGCUAAUACCGCAUAACAACUUUAAACAUAAGUUUUAAGUUUGAAAGAUGCAAUUGCAUCACUCAAAGAUGAUCUCGCGUUGUAUUAGCUAGUUGGUGAGGUAAAGGCUCAACAAGGCGAUGAUACAUAGCCGACCUGAGAGGGUGAUCGGCCACAUUGGGACUGAGACACGGCCCAAACUCCUACGGGAGGCAGCAGUAGGGGAUCUUCGGCAAUGGACGAAAGUCUGACCGGGCAACGCCGCGUGAGUGAAGGAGGUUUUCGGAUCGUAAAACUCUGUUGGUAGGGAAGAACGUUGGUGGGAGUGGAAAGCUCAUCAAGUGACGGUAACUACCCAGAAAGGGACGGCUAACUACGUG
Molecule: ribosomal RNA, 497 nt
Filed under: uncultured bacterium
Lineage: Bacteria
Description: partial 16S ribosomal RNA
Rfam family: Bacterial small subunit ribosomal RNA
Source: RNAcentral